UGGGGAAUUUUGGACAAUGGGCGCAAGCCUGAUCCAGCCAUGCCGCGUGCAGGAUGAAGGCCUUCGGGUUGUAAACUGCUUUUGUACGGAACGAAAAGGUGCCUUCUAAUAAAGGGCGCUCAUGACGGUACCGUAAGAAUAAGCACCGGCUAACUACGUGCCAGCAGCCGCGGUAAUACGUAGGGUGCGAGCGUUAAUCGGAAUUACUGGGCGUAAAGCGUGCGCAGGCGGUUUUGUAAGACAGAGGUGAAAUCCCCGGGCUCAACCUGGGAACUGCCUUUGUGACUGCAAGGGUGGAGUGCGGCAGAGGGGGAUGGGAUUCCGCGUGUAGCAGUGAAAUGCGUAGAUAUGCGGAGGAACACCGAUGGCGAAGGCAAUCCCCUGGGCCUGCACUGACGCUCAUGCACGAAAGCGUGGGGAGCAAACA
RNAcentral lists this ribosomal RNA (427 nucleotides) under uncultured bacterium. RNAcentral's name for it is "bacterial SSU rRNA". It matches the Rfam family "Bacterial small subunit ribosomal RNA", at positions 355 to 774 of the family's 1533-position model. The record is from RNAcentral.